Sinocyclocheilus grahami is the source of this 1631-nucleotide long non-coding RNA. RefSeq lists it as uncharacterized. The record is from RefSeq and is a predicted model, not a curated record. Lineage: Eukaryota; Metazoa; Chordata; Actinopteri; Cypriniformes; Cyprinidae. The transcript has 2 exons.
UGUAUCCAGUCUCAACUUUCCUGAGAAUUUUUAUAUGUUUCCAUUGAACAUGGAGAUCUCUGAUACUCAUUGAUCGUCAUUUUAUCUUUCCUUCAGCCAUUGUGCAAGGGGACACAUUAGAAGAGAUCUACAACCAGGUUAAGCAGGUCAUCGAGGAGCAGUCUGGGCCGUUCAUCUGGGUUCCAGUCAAAGAGAAAUUAACUCGCAUCCCAAUCUCCGCAUUUCCUCCUCCGGUGGGAGGAGACAUGCUUGACCAGCGACUCACUGGACAGAUUAUACGGUACAGAUUCCUUAAUGUUUAAGGGAGGUGACUUUCUCGAAGGAAAACCAAUGAGAUAAUACAUUAUAUACAUUUUAGUUUGUUCUUUUUCCCUUAUAUGAUCAGAAGUUAACGCUUUCAUGUCUGUCUCUGAAAAGACUUAAAGCACCACUUUGCACGUUUUUGCAUUAAGAGCAUGUUUUGGAUGGUUCUUUUUCAGUUAACAUAUGUUCUUACGUUUUUGUCAGACAGAUUUGAGCUACGUGAACUGCAGCCACCAUAUUACUUUUGUUUUCUCUCAGUUAUCUUGUAAAAUCAAGCAGCCCACUAAUUUUAAGCAGCUGAUCUGUUUUGUCACAAGUGCACAAAGAGGACAAAAACAUUUGGCACAAAAGUUCUUCUUUUUAUAUGAAAUGUCUAUUUGUCUUAACAAUCUGUGUACAUUUUAAUCAAGGUGCAUAUGGGAGUAGCUUUUAGUCAAGGUGAAAAGGAACAGCUUACAAUUAUCGUUCAAAUCCAGGUGAUGACAUUCUUAAAGAAACAAUGCAAAUAAGAGAGUAUAAAUUGUAAUGUAUAUUCAACCCUCAAUAUACUGCCUAUUUUGUUAUAAUGAAACUCUAUAUUGAGCUUUAAUUGAACUCCACACCUAUGGGAAUUAUUUUCUUUAUAAUGUCAAACAUACACUCAUAUGAAUAUGUGUGUAUGUAUAUAGAAGUAAAUAUAAAUAGAUAUAUAAAUAUAUAUUUUCCUUUACUUUUACCACCAUCACCUUUGUUGUAAAUGGUUUGUUUUAUGCAAAAACACAGACACACAGGACACAUGGACUGAAUGUUGGUGUUCCAUUUGCAUCUGCUCAAACAGUAUGAAAUAAAACUCAAGUUGGCAGUUUGUAGUCUUCAGCUCUCUCUCUCUCCUAUAUAGUUGUCAUAUUUACUUUUUCAUGUAACGUGCAUGAUUUCUAAAAGCAAUAGUCUUUGAUGCAUUAAAUAUAAGCGAGAAGCGGAGGAGAGGGCUUCUCUUUCUGUUUUCACCUGGGAUUGUGAAAAUGUCAGAGCUAGCAUGAACUGUAAACGUUAGAGGCUAGGAGAUUCUUGCCUCCAUGUAUGUGAACUUGUUGACUGCCCAUAGCUGAAGAGAGAUUUGCUUUGCCACUCUCUAACACAACUUUAACUAUCCACCAGGGAGCGCACUGACAGCAUCCCCUUUUCAUUCUCAAGUUACUCGGAGAUGAUUGUUUUCUAAAAGAUUGCUUCUCUAACUUGUCAUCAUGGCAUUCUAACACAUUUUUGACUGGAUUAUGUACAUAAUCUGCCAACUUGAUUCAUUCCAUUUGUCAAAAAGGAGAACAGCUAAUAAAAACUUUUUUUCUCAU